Molecule: ribosomal RNA, 254 nt
Filed under: uncultured bacterium
Lineage: Bacteria
Description: partial 16S ribosomal RNA
Rfam family: Bacterial small subunit ribosomal RNA
Source: RNAcentral
UACGGGGGGAGCAAGCGUUGUUCGGAUUUACUGGGCGUAAAGGGCGGGUAGGCGGCCACCGCAAUUCAGUUGUGAAAUCUCCGGGCUUAACCCGGAAAGGUCAACUGAUACUGCGGGGCUAGAGUGCAGAAGGGGCAACUGGAAUUCUCGGUGUAGCGGUGAAAUGCGUAGAUAUCGUUUGGAACGCCAAUGGUGAAAACAGACAGCUGGGAGUGUGCUGACGCUGAGACACGAAAGCCAGGGGAGCGAACGGG